AUCUGAGAUGGAGGAGGUACCACAGCAGACCGUUCCUGUGUAUGUGUGUCUUCCGUGUGUUUCAGCUGCAGCAGUUAGGUCCUAGGUUGUUCCUCUCCAUGUUCUUUCAGAGUCCAUUUCCAGCUACUGAAACAGUAACCAAGAUAUGAACACUAAAACAAUAACCCAGGGUGUGUUAAACCCCAGGAACAACAAUGGAGAUGGUACCAGCAAGAACUUGAUCAGAAAGGAAUGCUGGACACCAGAUGGAAACCAAGGUCACUAGAUCGGAGGCUGACUUUACUAUUCUCACACCCAGGACCACGAACUGGAGAUGUGAUGGGGAAGAUUGGAUAAAUACUUCUUCAGUAAGAAAAAGAGUCAACUUCUUGGUUCUCUUUCAAGCUGUUAUGGAAGAUCUUUUCUUCACGGGCAAUAUGAAAAUGAAAAGAUAUGUCAUGCUGCGGAUGUAAGGACAC
This 458-nucleotide long non-coding RNA is filed under the name Bos taurus (domestic cattle). Its description in RNAcentral is "long non-coding RNA NONBTAT024640". The record is from RNAcentral. Lineage: Eukaryota; Metazoa; Chordata; Mammalia; Artiodactyla; Bovidae.